Molecule: ribosomal RNA, 497 nt
Filed under: uncultured bacterium
Lineage: Bacteria
Description: partial 16S ribosomal RNA
Rfam family: Bacterial small subunit ribosomal RNA
Source: RNAcentral
GACGAACGCUGGCGGCGUGCCUAAUACAUGCAAGUAGAACGCUGAAGAGAGGAGCUUGCUCUUCUUGGAUGAGUUGCGAACGGGUGAGUAACGCGUAGGUAACCUGCCUUGUAGCGGGGGAUAACUAUUGGAAACGAUAGCUAAUACCGCAUAACAAUGGAUGACACAUGUCAUUUAUUUGAAAGGGGCAAUUGCUCCACUACAAGAUGGACCUGCGUUGUAUUAGCUAGUAGGUGAGGUAAUGGCUCACCUAGGCGUCGAUACAUAGCCGACCUGAGAGGGUGAUCGGCCACCCUGGGACUGAGACACGGCCCAGGCUCCUACGGGAGGCAGCAGUAGGGAAUCUUCGGCCAUGGGGGCAACCCUGACCGAGCAACGCCGCGUGAGUGAAGAAGGUUUUCGGAUCGUAAAGCUCUGUUGUAAGUCAAGAACGGGUGUGAGAGUGGAAAGUUCACACUGUGACGGUAGCUUACCAGAAAGGGACGGCUAACUACGUG